AGCAGUAGCCACGGUAAAACGGAGGGUGCAAGCGUUAACCGGAAUUACUGGGCGUAAAGCGUGCGUAGGCGGUUCGUUAAGUCUGUUGUGAAAGCCCCGGGCUCAACCUGGGAAUGGCAAUGGAUACUGGCGAGCUAGAGUGUGUCAGAGGAUGGUGGAAUUCCCGGUGUAGCGGUGAAAUGCGUAGAGAUCGGGAGGAACAUCAGUGGCGAAGGCGACCAUCUGGGACAACACUGACGCUGAGGCACGAAAGCGUGGGGAGCAGACAGGAUUAGAUACCCGCGUAGUCCCUGUCUCUUAUAC
RNAcentral lists this ribosomal RNA (303 nucleotides) under uncultured bacterium. Its description in RNAcentral is "partial 16S ribosomal RNA". It matches the Rfam family "Bacterial small subunit ribosomal RNA", at positions 507 to 807 of the family's 1533-position model. The record is from RNAcentral.